RNAcentral lists this ribosomal RNA (433 nucleotides) under uncultured bacterium. RNAcentral's name for it is "bacterial SSU rRNA". It matches the Rfam family "Bacterial small subunit ribosomal RNA", at positions 29 to 507 of the family's 1533-position model. The record is from RNAcentral.
AACGAACGCUGGCGGCAGGCCUAACACAUGUAAGUCGAGCGAACCCUUCGGGGUUAGCGGCGGACGGGUGAGUAACGCGUGGGAACGUGCCCUUUGCUACGGAAUAGCCCCGGGAAACUGGGAGUAAUACCGUAUGUGCCCUUCGGGGGAAAGAUUUAUCGGCAAAGGAUCGGCCCGCGUUGGAUUAGGUAGUUGGUGGGGUAAUGGCCUACCAAGCCGACGAUCCAUAGCUGGUUUGAGAGGAUGAUCAGCCACACUGGGACUGAGACACGGCCCAGACUCCUACGGGAGGCAGCAGUGGGGAAUCUUAGACAAUGGGCGCAAGCCUGAUCUAGCCAUGCCGCGUGAUCGAUGAAGGCCUUAGGGUUGUAAAGAUCUUUCAGUGGGGAAGAUAAUGACUGUACCCACAGAAGAAGCCCCGGCUAACUCCGUG